RNAcentral lists this ribosomal RNA (943 nucleotides) under Paenarthrobacter nicotinovorans. RNAcentral's name for it is "bacterial SSU rRNA". It matches the Rfam family "Bacterial small subunit ribosomal RNA", at positions 102 to 1055 of the family's 1533-position model. Lineage: Bacteria; Bacillati; Actinomycetota; Actinomycetes; Micrococcales; Micrococcaceae. The record is from RNAcentral.
ACGGGUGAGUAACACGUGAGUAACCUGCCCUUGACUCUGGGAUAAGCCUGGGAAACUGGGUCUAAUACCGGAUAUGACUCCUCAUCGCAUGGUGGGGGGUGGAAAGCUUUUUGUGGUUUUGGAUGGACUCGCGGCCUAUCAGCUUGUUGGUGGGGUAAUGGCUUACCAAGGCGAUGACGGGUAGCCGGCCUGAGAGGGUGACCGGCCACACUGGGACUGAGACACGGCCCAGACUCCUACGGGAGGCAGCAGUGGGGAAUAUUGCACAAUGGGCGCAAGCCUGAUGCAGCGACGCCGCGUGAGGGAUGACGGCCUUCGGGUUGUAAACCUCUUUCAGUAGGGAAGAAGCCGCAAGGUGACGGUACCUGCAGAAGAAGCGCCGGCUAACUACGUGCCAGCAGCCGCGGUAAUACGUAGGGCGCAAGCGUUAUCCGGAAUUAUUGGGCGUAAAGAGCUCGUAGGCGGUUUGUCGCGUCUGCUGUGAAAGACCGGGGCUCAACUCCGGUUCUGCAGUGGGUACGGGCAGACUAGAGUGCAGUAGGGGAGACUGGAAUUCCUGGUGUAGCGGUGAAAUGCGCAGAUAUCAGGAGGAACACCGAUGGCGAAGGCAGGUCUCUGGGCUGUAACUGACGCUGAGGAGCGAAAGCAUGGGGAGCGAACAGGAUUAGAUACCCUGGUAGUCCAUGCCGUAAACGUUGGGCACUAGGUGUGGGGGACAUUCCACGUUUUCCGCGCCGUAGCUAACGCAUUAAGUGCCCCGCCUGGGGAGUACGGCCGCAAGGCUAAAACUCAAAGGAAUUGACGGGGGCCCGCACAAGCGGCGGAGCAUGCGGAUUAAUUCGAUGCAACGCGAAGAACCUUACCAAGGCUUGACAUGAACCGGUAAUGCCUGGAAACAGGUGCCCCGCUUGCGGUCGGUUUACAGGUGGUGCAUGGUUGUCGU